CAGCACCUCAAGUGGUCAGGAUGAUUAUUGGGCCUAAAGCAUCCGUAGCCGGCGCUGUAAGUUUUCGGUUAAAUCUGUACGCUCAACGUACAGGCUGCCGGGAAUACUGCAGCGCUAGGGAGUGGGAGAGGUAGACGGUACUCAGUAGGAAGGGGUAAAAUCCUUUGAUCUAUUGAUGACCACCUGUGGCGAAGGCGGUCUACCAGAACACGUCCGACGGUGAGGGAUGAAAGCUGGGGGAGCAAACCGGAUUAGAUACCCGAGUAGUCC
Molecule: ribosomal RNA, 270 nt
Filed under: uncultured archaeon
Lineage: Archaea
Description: partial 16S ribosomal RNA
Rfam family: Archaeal small subunit ribosomal RNA
Source: RNAcentral